CCCUUAGAUGUUCUGGGCCGCACGCGUGCUACACUGAGUGGAUCAGCGGGUCAGGUUGCGCGAAAGCGUUUCCUAAUCUUGAAAUCCGCUCGUGAUGGGGAUUGACGGUUGCAAUUUUCUGUCAUGAACGAGGAAUACCUUGUAAGCGCGAGUCAUCAUCCCGCGCUGAAUACGUCCCUGCCCUUUGUACACACCGCCCGUCGCUCCUACCGAUUGAGUGGUCCGGUGAGGCUUUGGGAUCUGAGCGGAAAGAGCGUUUCGCUCGUUCUGCCCGGAAAACUCGGUCGAACCUUAUCAUUUAGAGGAAGGAGAAGUCGUAACA
RNAcentral lists this ribosomal RNA (322 nucleotides) under uncultured eukaryote. Its description in RNAcentral is "partial 18S ribosomal RNA". It matches the Rfam family "Eukaryotic small subunit ribosomal RNA", at positions 1470 to 1796 of the family's 1831-position model. The record is from RNAcentral.